Molecule: transfer RNA, 52 nt
Filed under: Vipera latastei ebusitana
Lineage: Eukaryota; Metazoa; Chordata; Lepidosauria; Squamata; Viperidae
Description: tRNA-Cys
Source: RNAcentral
GGCCCCAGCAUGUCAGGCUGCAAACCYGACCUCGGCGCUUUGCYCGGGGCUU